RNAcentral lists this non-coding RNA (311 nucleotides) under Cryptosporidium parvum. Lineage: Eukaryota; Apicomplexa; Conoidasida; Eucoccidiorida; Cryptosporidiidae. The record is from RNAcentral.
CGUCCUGAUCUGCAGUGUAAACCUUUGUCAAGGGGUUCAUUUCCUUGAAUUUAUCUAUACAUACUAUUCUCUGCUUACCAAUAUCUUCUUCUUCUAGUAGGAAAUUACAUGCUAGGUCACAGUUACGAACAUUGAUAUUAUCCCAUAUUGAUGCUUUAAUCCCUAGAAAAAAAAAUGAAGGAAAUGAUAAUGGAUUUAAUUAAGAUUUGUUUAAAAAAAAAAAAGCUUACCUGCCAAAACAAUAUUUUUGAUGAAUUCGAAGUGUAUUGGGCUCAAGCCUAAAAUCAAUAGUUCACUAUUCAUCAGUCUGC